CCAGUUUUAUUAAGCAGAAAAAAGGGCUUUAGAGCAAUACUAAUACUGAAGUUGGUGUCUAAAAGGAACUUGAGAACUUGAAUAUCAUGAAAAACCAGGUACAGUGCGGCCUACAGAUUGCAAGGGAGAAAACACGAUAAUUUAAUUGGUAAAGACAGUUUCAGGAGGGAAGAUCAUCACCGACUAUGAGGAAGCUCCAAGAAUUCUCUAGAAAAUAGGCAAUGAUUCCUUUCUAAUCAAAUUUCUUAAUCCUUAAGCAUGCCUAGAAAAACCUAGAAGAAUCGAUAC
Molecule: long non-coding RNA, 288 nt
Filed under: Olea europaea (common olive)
Lineage: Eukaryota; Viridiplantae; Streptophyta; Magnoliopsida; Lamiales; Oleaceae
Description: long non-coding RNA (OEUR_LNC001667)
Source: RNAcentral